GAUGAACGCUGACAGAAUGCUUAACACAUGCAAGUCUACUUAAACUUCGGUUUGGGUGGCGGACGGGUGAGUAACGCGUAAAGAACUUGCCUCACAGUUAGGGACAACAUUUGGAAACGAAUGCUAAUACCUGAUAUUAUGAUUUUAGGGCAUCCUAAGAUUAUGAAAGCUAUAUGCGCUGUGAGAGAGCUUUGCGUCCCAUUAGCUAGUUGGAGAGGUAACGGCUCACCAAGGCGAUGAUGGGUAGCCGGCCUGAGAGGGUGAACGGCCACAAGGGGACUGAGACACGGCCCUUACUCCUACGGGAGGCAGCAGUGGGGAAUAUUGGACAAUGGACCAAAAGUCUGAUCCAGCAAUUCUGUGUGCACGAUGACGUUUUUCGGAAUGUAAAGUGCUUUCAGUUGGGAAGAAAAAAAUGACGGUACCAACAGAAGAAGUGACGGCUAAAUACGUGCCAGCAGCCGCGGUAAUACGUAUGUCACAAGCGUUAUCCGGAUUUAUUGGGCGUAAAGCGCGUCUAGGUGGUUAUGUAAGUCUGAUGUGAAAAUGCAGGGCUCAACUCUGUAUUGCGUUGGAAACUGCAUGACUAGAGUACUGGAGAGGUAAGCGGAACUACAAGUGUAGAGGUGAAAUUCGUAGAUAUUUGUAGGAAUGCCGAUGGGGAAGCCAGCUUACUGGACAGAUACUGACGCUAAAGCGCGAAAGCGUGGGUAGCAAACAGG
This 722-nucleotide ribosomal RNA is filed under the name uncultured Fusobacterium sp. RNAcentral describes it as "bacterial SSU rRNA". It matches the Rfam family "Bacterial small subunit ribosomal RNA", at positions 28 to 776 of the family's 1533-position model. The record is from RNAcentral. Lineage: Bacteria; Fusobacteriati; Fusobacteriota; Fusobacteriia; Fusobacteriales; Fusobacteriaceae.